This 582-nucleotide ribosomal RNA is filed under the name uncultured fungus. RNAcentral describes it as "eukaryotic LSU rRNA". The stretch from base 170 to 323 matches the Rfam family "5.8S ribosomal RNA". The record is from RNAcentral. Lineage: Eukaryota; Fungi.
UCCGUAGGUGAACCUGCGGAAGGAUCAUUACUGAGAGUACUGGGCUCUGCCUAGCUACUUUUACCCAUGUUUUUUACGUACCAAAGUUUCCUCGGCGGCUUCGUCCGCCGGUUGGACACAAUCAAAACCCUUGUAGUUGCAGUCAGCGUCUGAUAAACUUAAUAGUUACAACUUUCAACAACGGAUCUCUUGGUUCUGGCAUCGAUGAAGAACGCAGCGAAAUGCGAUACGUAGUGUGAAUUGCAGAAUUCAGUGAAUCAUCGAAUCUUUGAACGCACAUUGCACCUCUCGGUAUUCCGGGAGGUAUGCCUGUUCGAGCGUCAUUUGUACCCUCAAGCUCUGCUUGGUGUUGGGUGUUUGUUCCGCCUCUGUGUGUGAACUCGCCUCAAAACAAUUGGCAGCCGGCGUACUUGUUUCGGAGCGCAGCACAUUUUGCGAUCCAGAUCAACGUACAGCGGCAUCCAAGAAGCCUUAUUUAACGCUCUUGACCUCGGAUCAGGUAGGGAUACCCGCUGAACUUAAGCAUAUCAAUAAGCGGAGGGAAGUCGGACUGGCCAAGGGGCACACCAGGGGGGGGGGAUA